AUGGGCGAGAGGUUCCCUGGCGAUGGGGCGGCGGCCAAUGGCUUCAGCCGCCGCUCGCUGCACGAGUGGGAGGCGUACCUCCUGUUCGAGGCCAACGCGCCGGCAUCACCGGACAUGCGCGCGCCGGGGUGGUGGAGGCUCAGUGCCGGUGGCAUUCCCAUCCCCCCGCUGCCCGACGUCGACGUGCACCCCGACUACUUCGCCGAUGAGAUUGCCCGCGUGCGGGUGUCGCUGACGGAGGAGCAGCGGGCCCUCCCGCACUACGCUGUCGGCAAUCACGAGGCCUCGGCGGCGUACUUCCAGCAUCGACAGGCGCAGCGGCUGGCCUCCACCAAUGGGGCACCGGUGGUGCGGCGGUCGAAGAACAGCGAGAGCCGCCGCCUGUGGUGGGGUGCCCCCGGCUGCACUCUCCUCGCCGUCCUCCAGCACCUCGAGGGCGGCAACGACUCGCCAUUGACGUACCCUCCUGCCCCGGUUCCUCGCCGGAGCGGCGACCAAUGGAUGCCCCGCCGGACCGGCUCCUCCUCUUCCUCCUCCCGCUCAUCCGGCUCGUCCAUGUUGCUCGGCGUCAAGGCCGAGCCCGCGGAGACCGCCGAGACGCCGCUCGGCCGGCGCACCCGCAACGAGGGCGGGCGCGCCUCCUCCUCUGCGGCUCUUCCCCGCUUCGUCAAGCCGGAGACGGAGCCGGGCCUCGCCGUCAUGAAGACGGAGCCAGGGCUCGCCGACGUGAAGGCGGAGCCAGGGCUCGACGAUGCGGCAGCAUUGAAGUGGGCGCGUGAAGACUGGGCGCGGGCGGAACUGGAGCGCCAGCGCCGUGCCCUGGAGCAGUUCUUCGCUCGGCGCCGUGGCCACGACGAGGGAGGCGUCGUCGUCCUCGACAAUGAUAGCGGCGACGCUGCCUCCGCCUACGCCGGUCCGCUAGGGCGAACCCGGCCAGGGGUCCAGCAGUGGCGUCUGCGUCAAGGAGGAGAAGAAGGACGACGACAACAGCGGCGACGGCGACCUCGCCCCUCUCAGCGCGUUUUCAGCCUGUAG
This 1035-nucleotide ribosomal RNA is filed under the name Triticum aestivum (bread wheat). RNAcentral describes it as "partial small subunit ribosomal RNA". The record is from RNAcentral. Lineage: Eukaryota; Viridiplantae; Streptophyta; Magnoliopsida; Poales; Poaceae.